AUUAAGGUAGUUUAAUUAAAAAUUUUAGUUUGUGGUGCUGAUAAUGAAAAGUAGUUUUCCCUUGAUA
RNAcentral lists this transfer RNA (67 nucleotides) under Tricholepidion gertschi. RNAcentral describes it as "tRNA-His". Lineage: Eukaryota; Metazoa; Arthropoda; Insecta; Zygentoma; Lepidotrichidae. The record is from RNAcentral.